Molecule: ribosomal RNA, 468 nt
Filed under: uncultured bacterium
Lineage: Bacteria
Description: partial 16S ribosomal RNA
Rfam family: Bacterial small subunit ribosomal RNA
Source: RNAcentral
GACGAACGCUGGCAGCGUGCUUAACACAUGCAAGUCGAACGGAAAGGCCCUGCUUUUGUGGGGUGCUCGAGUGGCGAACGGGUGAGUAACACGUGAGUAACCUGCCCUUGACUUUGGGAUAACUUCAGGAAACUGGGGCUAAUACCGGAUAGGAGCUCCUGCUGCAUGGUGGGGGUUGGAAAGUUUCGGCGGUUGGGGAUGGACUCGCGGCUUAUCAGCUUGUUGGUGGGGUAGUGGCUUACCAAGGCUUUGACGGGUAGCCGGCCUGAGAGGGUGACCGGCGACAUUGGGACUGCGAUACGGCCCAGACUCCUACGGGAGGCAGCAGGGGGGAAUAUUGCACAAUGGGCGGAAGCCUGAUGCAGCAGCGCCGCGUGCGGGAUGACGGCCUUCGGGUGGUAAACCGCUUUCGCCUGUGACGAGGCGUGAGUGACGGUAAUGGGUAAAGAAGCACCGGCUAACUACGUG